RNAcentral lists this microRNA precursor (68 nucleotides) under Pelobates cultripes (western spadefoot toad). Lineage: Eukaryota; Metazoa; Chordata; Amphibia; Anura; Pelobatidae. The record is from RNAcentral.
AUGGGUUACUCCAACAACCAUGACCACUUCUGCUUUUAGAAGUGGUCAUGGUUGUAGGAGUCUGUACA